GCGGCCGCGGAGCAGCGCGCGCGGCGCGGAGCUGCAAGCGGCGGCGGCGGCGGCGGCGGCGGCGGCGGCGACGACGACGACGACGACGACGACGACGACGAACGGGGGGUCCCGGGUGCAACUCCGGGCGGUGCAAACACACAUCCCACCCCUCCACCCCCCACGCCCCGUGCCUCUCCGAAAGAGAGGGAAAAGGAAGAGAUCUGAAAAAAAAAUUAUUACGCCUUUUAUUUUUUUUUUUAUUUUUAAUUAUUUUUAUAUUUAAUUUGGGGCGGGGGGUCACUUUCGCGUCUAAAAGCAACCCUCCCCCUGAAAAAAAAACAAAAAACAAACCAACCCAGCGAGCAAAGCCAGGAUCCUGCUGCAUUGCACUGGAUUUUUACUUUCUUUUUUUUUUUUUUUUUUUUUGUAAUUAUUUUUCCCUCAAUCAGCUUUUUUUAUAAUUUUUGCAAACAGCCACGUUCAGCUCACGGCCUCCGACGGGAUUUACUCUCGGGGAAAGAAGCUUUUUCCUUAAAGACACCCACCCCCACCCCCACCCCCCCCCCCCAUGUACUCCCUUCCCUUCUUCCUUUUUGUUUUGAAUUUUUCUUUUUUUUUUUUUAUGAUUUUUGUAUUUCUUUGCCAGGAUUCUCCAGACAAAAAAAAAGAUGAUUUUUUUUUUUUUUUGAUCCGUUUUCUCUUUUCCUUUCCAGGACUCUGGAGUGGUGGGUUAAUUCUUUGUAGCUGUUGUUACUAUUGUUGCAAUAUAACCUGUAAGUCUGUAAAUACUCUGCUUGUAUGGAAAUGUCGGACUGUGCUGGGGAUGCAAAACCGCGCUGGCUUUGCUGGAAGGGGUUUGAUUUCGGCACUUUUUGCCUCUGGCUGGGCAGAGGCCUCUUUGCCGGUGGGCUGGGGCGGCGGGAGGGCAAUAAUGCAAAACCUUUGCAAGCCCUGGCUCGGCUGGGCUUUGCAAGGGGGUGCAGAGGGAGGGGGCCCAUCACCCCGGCCUUCCCCCGGACCUCUAUGGAAAUGUAUGACCCUGUAUGUAAAUCCGUCGAGAUUUCUACCUCUCUGUCCCCCAGCCUUGAGUAUUUAUUCCGAGCGGGCCUGCUGCGCGGUUGCUCUCCGGAGGGGUGGCUCAGCACAUCCAAGGCUCAUUUGUCUUCCCCCGUCGGGUUUGGGGGCUGUGGGGUGCGGUGGCGGGGAGCAGGGGGAAGGCACGCUCCGCGAUGCCAUUCCCGGGCCGUUGCAAUUAAUAGAAAUUUGUUUACGAGAAUAACCACCGCAGGUCACGGUGCCCUCGGUCCACUAAUGCAAUUGCUCAGAGCUACUGAUUCAGCUACCGCCGAGCCCCGCGGAGCGGCCACCUUGAACGCAAAGUCCCCAGCUUGUGACGCUGUCGCUGCAGCCGGAGCGGGUGCCCAGCGGAGCCCGGUGCCCGCGGGACGGCCGGUAGCAGCGAGGGGGCUGCUGCUCGGGGUUGUGAUUUGGCAGAGACCCGAGGUCGAGCACGGCUUCUGUUCAAGUAGCACUUUUAUGGGGGAGAUGUCUCGCUCUGCCCGGCCACCGCCAAGCCGGGCUUGCAUCAGAGUUUCCAUCCUCUCCCCCCUCCUUACAGGGACGUAGAGAGCAGCCACCAGCAGCCCCUCUGGGCUGGGAACUGGGCGGCCUGGGUGCCUCUGUGGCGUUUUUGGCCUUUCUGCUCUGGUUCUGUACCUUCUCUUCCCUGCUCUCCAUCACCCAGGGCCCGGCCACAGCUCUCUGGUGGCUCCUGCCACCCACUCCCACCUCCCACUGCUUCCUGCUGUCCCCCAAAGCAGCCCAGGUCCCUGCAGUGCCUCACAGGGGGCUUCGGGGUGCCGGGGAUAGGGUUGUCUCCCUGGGACCCCUCUCCCCCCAUUGGCCAGCAGGGUCAGGGCCAAGCGAGGCCUUGUCACCCUCUCCCCUCGCCUGUCCCAUCUGGGUCGCAGCUCUGGGGACCAGCGUGGCAGGCGGUGGUGGUGGCUGCCAGGCGGGUAGGGUGGCGAUGCCCCACGGGAUGGCCUCCCUCGCCUCUGCUGGCCCGCAGCAAGCGGCUUGGCUGUGCAGGGGGAAGGUGGAAGGGGGAAGGAAGCCCCCGUGUUGGCUGCGGGACGCUCCCCACCAGCCUUGGGGCAGCUCCCGUGCACCCACGAGGUGCCUGUGCGGCACCAGGAGGGGCAGCAGCUCGGCCCCACCAGUGGGGAGCUGCAGUCACCCCGCUGUGGGGGGCCAGCCUCAUGCAUCCCCCUCUCGAAAACACCCUUCUCCCUGGAGAGACCCCCUCACCCAGGCAGGGGUUUGAACCCUGAUGCGCUGCCUGGCGGUGCUGGGACAAGGACGAUGCUGCUGGAGAACUCCCCUUGGAGUUGGCAGGGGUAUUUCUGGACACACUCCGAGGAGUGGGAGCGGAGUCAGGAGCAGCACUGGGCAUCGCUACAGGUGCCUCAAACCGCUCUGUGGGCAUCCUGCUCCAGCCUCUCCAUUGUCCCCCUGGCAAAGCUCCUCGGAUGGAAAGCAGCCCCUCUGCCUGCAUGUUGGCGUGUGGGGCACAAAACGGUGUGAAAUUAUUUAGCCCUCCCUGAGAGCUGCAGUUUGCUGGUGGAGGCCCUUGGAGCUGGAGGGGCACCUCUGCCGUGAUGGGAGCCCCCGGGGCUGGGGUCGUCCCCCCCCAGGGAACACAGAGCGGGUUUUUAAGCAGCGUUGAGGCCAGUGCGUAUUUUUCCCAGGUGAACUGCACUUCUGGAAAGAAGUGCUGCUGCUUCUACAAAAUACUGCUUAAAUAAACAGUGCCCCACUAUAAUUUUUCUUUCGAAAUUAACUCCUUCAGGCCAUGAGGCUUACCCAUCACUGUACAAAAUAGCUGCCAGGACUUUUAAAGAAAACAAAAAUCGUGUCUGGGAGAGAAAAGUUUAGCCUGACAGAAGAGAGCCGGUAAAUCUCUCCCCUUCCCCGUGGCAGUUGAGGAUGGGUUGCGGGAGCAGCCUGACCAUUUUGGAGCCGGGUGCCGCUGCACAAACGUUACUUAAAAGGAGUUUUGUGCAUAUUAAUGUGCGUGCACUGAGGCCAGGCUGCACGCUGCGCAGGGACAGCCUAUUCCCUGGCUGUAUUGAACUAUCUUGUUUUCUAAUCUAACCUACUUUUUUUCUUUUUCUUUUUUUCUUUUUUUCUUUUUUUUUGUCAGAGGUUGGUGCUUUGCAGGAACCUGUUCUUAGUGCAAUCUCAGAGCUUUUUGUGGGUGUCUGAUUUCUGUAACACGUUUUGGUUUCCAGUAUGAAUGUAACGUACAGAGAAUAUCAUGACACUGCUCUAGGUGUAUGUGAUCUUAUCUACCUGACAUUUAGGGUUUUUUUAACCGUCCAAUUCUCCUGAUUUGCAUAAAAAUCACAUGAUUUUUCUUUUUUCCUUCUUUUUUUCAUGCAUCAUCAUAACAAACUACUCAGGUUUACCAGGCUGUUUUCUGCCUGUCAGCAUGAAUGCAGGGCCUGUCUCUCUCCCCCUCCUUCCUCCCCAGUGAAGGCUGGGGAUGUGGAAGGUGGCACUUGGAGGGGACCUGUGAUCCCUGCCAGCCACUGAGAUCCUUAAUAAGUGAACGUGUACCGUUUAACUUCCAGGAAAACAAAGCAGCUCAGCACACAUUCCAUCCGAUUCUUGUUAAUUUAAACAGAUGAGACUCCUUUUUAUUGAUAAGGAAACUCCCCCGGAACAGCCCCCUGCAUCCCAGAAGGCUCCCCCUGCCGUGGCCGUCCUCAUUACAAAACAAGGCCGCAAUUAAAAUAAACUCCAAGAGCUAAACAAA
Falco peregrinus (peregrine falcon) is the source of this 3799-nucleotide long non-coding RNA. RefSeq lists it as uncharacterized. Lineage: Eukaryota; Metazoa; Chordata; Aves; Falconiformes; Falconidae. The record is from RefSeq and is a predicted model, not a curated record. The transcript is spliced from 2 exons.